RNAcentral lists this ribosomal RNA (750 nucleotides) under uncultured Actinomyces sp. Its description in RNAcentral is "bacterial SSU rRNA". It matches the Rfam family "Bacterial small subunit ribosomal RNA", at positions 28 to 776 of the family's 1533-position model. The record is from RNAcentral. Lineage: Bacteria; Bacillati; Actinomycetota; Actinomycetes; Actinomycetales; Actinomycetaceae.
GACGAACGCUGGCGGCGUGCUUAACACAUGCAAGUCGAACGCUGAAGCCUAGCUUGCUGGGUGGAUGAGUGGCGAACGGGUGAGUAACACGUGAGUAACCUGCCCUCUUCUUUGGGAUAACGCCCGGAAACGGGUGCUAAUACUGGAUAUUCACUGAUCUUCGCAUGGGGGUUGGUGGAAAGGUUUUUUCUGGUGGGGGAUGGGCUCGCGGCCUAUCAGCUUGUUGGUGGGGUGAUGGCCUACCAAGGCUUUGACGGGUAGCCGGCCUGAGAGGGUGACCGGUCACAUUGGGACUGAGAUACGGCCCAGACUCCUACGGGAGGCAGCAGUGGGGAAUAUUGCACAAUGGGCGAAAGCCUGAUGCAGCGACGCCGCGUGAGGGAUGGAGGCCUUCGGGUUGUAAACCUCUUUCGCUCAUGGUCAAGCCGCAACGCUGGUUGUGGUGAGGGUAGUGGGUAAAGAAGCGCCGGCUAACUACGUGCCAGCAGCCGCGGUAAUACGUAGGGCGCGAGCGUUGUCCGGAAUUAUUGGGCGUAAAGGGCUUGUAGGCGGUUGGUCGCGUCUGCCGUGAAAUCCUCUGGCUUAACUGGGGGCGUGCGGUGGGUACGGGCUGACUUGAGUGCGGUAGGGGAGACUGGAACUCCUGGUGUAGCGGUGGAAUGCGCAGAUAUCAGGAAGAACACCGGUGGCGAAGGCGGGUCUCUGGGCCGUUACUGACGCUGAGGAGCGAAAGCGUGGGGAGCGAACAGG